CUUCGUGGGAGUGAGAAUGCAGACAUGAGUAGCGAGAGACGGGUGAGGAUCCCGUCCGCUGGAUGACCAAGGGUUCCGGGGCCACGUUCGUCGUCCCCGGGUGAGUCGGGUCCUAAGGCGAGGCCGACAGGCGUAGUCGAAUGGAUGAACGGGUGGAUAUUCCCGUACCGACCAUGGACCGGCAAAACCGAGACGGUGAGUACUAACCUCCGCCUCGUGGUGGUUCCUUCCUUCGGGUUGGUUCCGUCGCGUGGCGUUGGGACUGUAGCCGCAGUAGGUCAGCGCAGGGGUGACACGGAAUGGGAGCCGGCCGCGGAGGUGGUUUUCCGUGGUCAAGCACGCAGCCAGUCAUGUAGGCAAAUCCGCAUGGCGUGCAUGGCGAGGUGUGAUGAUGGGAGCCGUUAUGGCUCGAUAUCCGGUUGUCCAGGCCGUCGAGAAAAGCCUCGGCGUGAGGGCCAUGGCCGCCCGUACCCCAAACCGACACUGGUGGUCAGGUAGAGAAUACCAAGGCGAUCGAGCGAAUCCUGGUCAAGGAACUCGGCAAAUCACUCCCGUGCCUUCGGUAUAAGGGAGACCCACUGGGGUGAAGGACCUUGCGUCCGGAGCUUUGGUGGGUGGCACAGACCAGGGGGUAGCGACUGUUUACCAAAAACACAGGUGCAUGCGAAGGCGAAAGCCGCUGUAUAUGCACUGACGCCUGCCCGGUGCCGGAAGGUUAAGAGGAUCCGUCAAUCCCUUCGGGGACGAAGCGGUGAAUUCAAGCCCCGGUAAACGGCGGUGGUAACUAUAACCAUCCUAAGGUAGCGAAAUUCCUUGUCGGGUAAGUUCCGACCUGCACGAAUGGCGUAACGACUUCCCCACUGUCUCGACCAGGAGCUCGGCGAAAUUGCAGUACGAGUAAAGAUGCUCGUUAAGCGCAGAAGGACGAAAAGACCCCGGGACCUUUACUAUACCUUGGUAUUGGCGUUAGGCGCGGAUUGUGUAGCAUAGGCGGGAGGCUUCGAAGCGGGUGCGCCAGCAUUCGUGGAGCCGCAAGGUGAAAUACCGCUCUGUUCUCGUUUGACGUCUAACCUCGACAAGUCAUCCUUGUCAGGGACAGUGCCUGGCGGGUAGUUCAACUGGGGCGGUUGCCUCCCAAAGAGUAACGGAGGCGCUCAAAGGUCCGCUCAGCCCGGUUGGCAAUCGGGUGUCGAGUGUAAUCGCACAAGCGGGCUUGACUGCGAGGACGACGGUCCGAGCAGGGACGAAAGUCGGAGAUAGUGAUCCGGUGCCGGCGCACGGGCGCGGCAUCGCUCAACGGAUAAAAGGUACCCCGGGGAUAACAGGCUGAUCAUUCCCAAGAGUCCAUAUC
RNAcentral lists this ribosomal RNA (1351 nucleotides) under metagenome. RNAcentral's name for it is "bacterial LSU rRNA". It matches the Rfam family "Bacterial large subunit ribosomal RNA", at positions 1278 to 2506 of the family's 2925-position model. The record is from RNAcentral.